Molecule: non-coding RNA, 31 nt
Filed under: Homo sapiens (human)
Lineage: Eukaryota; Metazoa; Chordata; Mammalia; Primates; Hominidae
Source: RNAcentral
UCAUCGUGGAACACGGAAGCAUGAUGGGUAC